Molecule: ribosomal RNA, 625 nt
Filed under: Bacillus cereus
Lineage: Bacteria; Bacillati; Bacillota; Bacilli; Caryophanales; Bacillaceae
Also listed under: 1 other name
Description: bacterial SSU rRNA
Rfam family: Bacterial small subunit ribosomal RNA
Source: RNAcentral
AGCGGCGGACGGGUGAGUAACACGUGGGUAACCUGCCCAUAAGACUGGGAUAACUCCGGGAAACCGGGGCUAAUACCGGAUAACAUUUUGAACCGCAUGGUUCGAAAUUGAAAGGCGGCUUCGGCUGUCACUUAUGGAUGGACCCGCGUCGCAUUAGCUAGUUGGUGAGGUAACGGCUCACCAAGGCAACGAUGCGUAGCCGACCUGAGAGGGUGAUCGGCCACACUGGGACUGAGACACGGCCCAGACUCCUACGGGAGGCAGCAGUAGGGAAUCUUCCGCAAUGGACGAAAGUCUGACGGAGCAACGCCGCGUGAGUGAUGAAGGCUUUCGGGUCGUAAAACUCUGUUGUUAGGGAAGAACAAGUGCUAGUUGAAUAAGCUGGCACCUUGACGGUACCUAACCAGAAAGCCACGGCUAACUACGUGCCAGCAGCCGCGGUAAUACGUAGGUGGCAAGCGUUAUCCGGAAUUAUUGGGCGUAAAGCGCGCGCAGGUGGUUUCUUAAGUCUGAUGUGAAAGCCCACGGCUCAACCGUGGAGGGUCAUUGGAAACUGGGAGACUUGAGUGCAGAAGAGGAAAGUGGAAUUCCAUGUGUAGCGGUGAAAUGCGUAGAGAUAUGGAGG